RNAcentral lists this ribosomal RNA (397 nucleotides) under uncultured bacterium. Its description in RNAcentral is "partial 16S ribosomal RNA". It matches the Rfam family "Bacterial small subunit ribosomal RNA", at positions 523 to 918 of the family's 1533-position model. The record is from RNAcentral.
AUACGUAGGGGGCGAGCGUUGUCCGGAAUGAUUGGGCGUAAAGGGCGCGUAGGCGGCCCGGUAAGUCUGGAGUGAAAGUCCUGUUUUUAAGAUGGGAAUUGCUUUGGAUACUGUCGGGCUUGAGUGCAGGAGAGGUAAGUGGAAUUCCCAGUGUAGCGGUGAAAUGCGUAGAGAUUGGGAGGAACACCAGUGGCGAAGGCGACUUACUGGACUGUAACUGGCGCUGAGGCGCGAAAGUGUGGGGAGCAAACAGGAUUAGAUACCCUGGUAGUCCACACUGUAAACGAUGAAUGCUAGGUGUAGGGGGUAUCGACCCCUUCUGUGCCGCAGUCAACACAAUAAGCAUUCCGCCUGGGGAGUACGGCCGCAAGGUUGAAACUCAAAGGAAUUGACGGGG